GCCGGGCAUGGUGGCGGGUGCCUGUAAUCCCAGCUACUCGGGAGGCUGAGGCAGAAGAAUCGCUUGAACCUGGGAGGUGGAGGUUGCAGUGAGCUGAGAUUGUGCCACUGCACUCCCACCUGGGUGACAAGAGCGAGACUCCGUCUUCC
Molecule: non-coding RNA, 149 nt
Filed under: Pan troglodytes (chimpanzee)
Lineage: Eukaryota; Metazoa; Chordata; Mammalia; Primates; Hominidae
Source: Rfam by way of RNAcentral